Molecule: ribosomal RNA, 253 nt
Filed under: uncultured bacterium
Lineage: Bacteria
Description: partial 16S ribosomal RNA
Rfam family: Bacterial small subunit ribosomal RNA
Source: RNAcentral
UACGUAGGGUGCAAGCGUUGUCCGGAAUUAUUGGGCGUAAAGAGUUCGUAGGCGGUCUGUCGCGUCGAAUGUGAAAACCCGGGGCUCAACUCCGGGCUUGCAUUCGAUACGGGCAGGCUAGAGUUCGGUAGGGGAGUCUGGAAUUCCUGGUGUAGCGGUGAAAUGCGCAGAUAUCAGGAGGAACACCGGUGGCGAAGGCGGGACUCUGGGCCGAUACUGACGCUGAGGAGCGAAAGCGUGGGGAGCGAACAGG